This 572-nucleotide ribosomal RNA is filed under the name Saccharomyces cerevisiae (brewer's yeast). RNAcentral's name for it is "partial large subunit ribosomal RNA". It matches the Rfam family "Eukaryotic large subunit ribosomal RNA", at positions 62 to 648 of the family's 3401-position model. The record is from RNAcentral. Lineage: Eukaryota; Fungi; Ascomycota; Saccharomycetes; Saccharomycetales; Saccharomycetaceae.
AAACCAACCGGGAUUGCCUUAGUAACGGCGAGUGAAGCGGCAAAAGCUCAAAUUUGAAAUCUGGUACCUUCGGCGCCCGAGUUGUAAUUUGGAGAGGGCAACUUUGGGGCCGUUCCUUGUCUAUGUUCCUUGGAACAGGACGUCAUAGAGGGUGAGAAUCCCGUGUGGCGAGGAGUGCGGUUCUUUGUAAAGUGCCUUCGAAGAGUCGAGUUGUUUGGGAAUGCAGCUCUAAGUGGGUGGUAAAUUCCAUCUAAAGCUAAAUAUUGGCGAGAGACCGAUAGCGAACAAGUACAGUGAUGGAAAGAUGAAAAGAACUUUGAAAAGAGAGUGAAAAAGUACGUGAAAUUGUUGAAAGGGAAGGGCAUUUGAUCAGACAUGGUGUUUUGUGCCCUCUGCUCCUUGUGGGUAGGGGAAUCUCGCAUUUCACUGGGCCAGCAUCAGUUUUGGUGGCAGGAUAAAUCCAUAGGAAUGUAGCUUGCCUCGGUAAGUAUUAUAGCCUGUGGGAAUACUGCCAGCUGGGACUGAGGACUGCGACGUAAGUCAAGGAUGCUGGCAUAAUGGUUAUAUGCCGC